UACGUAGGGGGCAAGCGUUGUCCGGAAUUACUGGGCGUAAAGAGCUCGUAGGUGGUUUGUCGCGUUGUUCGUGAAAUCUCACGGCUUAACUGUGAGCGUGCGGGCGAUACGGGCAGACUAGAGUACUGCAGGGGAGACUGGAAUUCCUGGUGUAGCGGUGGAAUGCGCAGAUAUCAGGAGGAACACCGGUGGCGAAGGCGGGUCUCUGGGCAGUAACUGACGCUGAGGAGCGAAAGCGUGGGGAGCGAACAGG
RNAcentral lists this ribosomal RNA (253 nucleotides) under uncultured bacterium. Its description in RNAcentral is "partial 16S ribosomal RNA". It matches the Rfam family "Bacterial small subunit ribosomal RNA", at positions 524 to 776 of the family's 1533-position model. The record is from RNAcentral.